This 547-nucleotide ribosomal RNA is filed under the name uncultured bacterium. RNAcentral's name for it is "partial 16S ribosomal RNA". It matches the Rfam family "Bacterial small subunit ribosomal RNA", at positions 355 to 912 of the family's 1533-position model. The record is from RNAcentral.
UGGGGAAUAUUGCACAAUGGGCGAAAGCCUGAUGCAGCGACGCCGCGUGAGGGAUGACGGCCUUCGGGUUGUAAACCUCUUUCAGCAGGGAAGAAGCGAAAGUGACGGUACCUGCAGAAGAAGCGCCGGCUAACUACGUGCCAGCAGCCGCGGUAAUACGUAGGGCGCAAGCGUUGUCCGGAAUUAUUGGGCGUAAAGAGCUCGUAGGCGGUUAGUCGCGUCUGCUGUGAAAACUCGAGGCUCAACCUCGGGCUUGCAGUGGGUACGGGCUGACUAGAGUGCGGUAGGGGUGACUGGAAUUCCUGGUGUAGCGGUGGAAUGCGCAGAUAUCAGGAGGAACACCGAUGGCGAAGGCAGGUCACUGGGCCGCAACUGACGCUGAGGAGCGAAAGCAUGGGGAGCGAACAGGAUUAGAUACCCUGGUAGUCCAUGCCGUAAACGUUGGGCACUAGGUGUGGGGUCCAUUCCACGGAUUCCGUGCCGCAGCAAACGCAUUAAGUGCCCCGCCUGGGGAGUACGGCCGCAAGGCUAAAACUCAAAUGAAUUG